GAGGGUGCAGCUCAGUAGAAGAGUGCCUGUUUAGCAUGCAUAAGGUCCUGGGUUCAAUCCCCAGUACUUCCA
Molecule: transfer RNA, 72 nt
Filed under: Camelus bactrianus (Bactrian camel)
Lineage: Eukaryota; Metazoa; Chordata; Mammalia; Artiodactyla; Camelidae
Also listed under: 2 other names
Rfam family: tRNA
About the family: Transfer RNA (tRNA) molecules are approximately 80 nucleotides in length.
Source: Rfam by way of RNAcentral